ACUGAUUAUUUUGUGACUGAGUGGCGGACGGGUGAGUAACGCGUGGGUAACCUGCCUCACACUGGGGGAUAACAGUUAGAAAUAGCUGCUAAUACCGCAUAAGCGCACAGUACCGCAUGGUACAGUGUGAAAAACUCCGGUGGUGUGAGAUGGAUCCGCGUCUGAUUAGGUAGUUGGUGGGGUAACGGCCCACCAAGCCGACGAUCAGUAGCCGACCUGAGAGGAUGACCAGCCACACUGGAACUGAGACACGGUCCAGACUCC
RNAcentral lists this ribosomal RNA (264 nucleotides) under uncultured Lachnospiraceae bacterium. Its description in RNAcentral is "partial 16S ribosomal RNA". It matches the Rfam family "Bacterial small subunit ribosomal RNA", at positions 74 to 339 of the family's 1533-position model. Lineage: Bacteria; Bacillati; Bacillota; Clostridia; Lachnospirales; Lachnospiraceae. The record is from RNAcentral.